This 75-nucleotide transfer RNA is filed under the name Desulfobacteraceae bacterium 4572_88. RNAcentral describes it as "tRNA-Val". It matches the Rfam family "tRNA". From Rfam's summary of the family: Transfer RNA (tRNA) molecules are approximately 80 nucleotides in length. Their secondary structure includes four short double-helical elements and three loops (D, anti-codon, and T loops). Lineage: Bacteria; Pseudomonadati; Thermodesulfobacteriota; Desulfobacteria; Desulfobacterales; Desulfobacteraceae. RNAcentral also lists the same sequence under 1 other name. The record is from RNAcentral.
AGGCGCGUAGCUCAGGGGGAGAGCGCUACCUUGACACGGUAGAGGUCGUUGGUUCAAAUCCAAUCGCGCCUACCA